AUUUUAUUAAAAAAGUUACAAACAGGUGGACUGCAGGAUCGUCUUACAAAAUGACAAGAAUGAAAUCUAUUGGAAAAAUUUUACUUUUACAAAUCUUUAUAGGUCAUUGUUCAAUGUUUGUACUUGUUAUUCGAGAUUUUUUACCUUUCAUUGAUAAAGUUACAGUACAUUAGAUCCAUGAUAAUAGGUUACAUGAUUUUAUUUGCAGAGCCCUACUGCAGUGAUUUGAACAACUCCUAAACAGAUGCCAUAGUAAAGACAAGACAUAUAUUGCAUUUAAUAUUAAUUUAUUAUCCUAAUAAGCAACUUGACAUGCAAUCUAUUGUGGAAGCUAAAAUAACUUUUGGUCCCUUUUCUUAAAAUGUGCUGGAGAAACCACCUUUAAUCACUUUCCCCUGAUUCCUGUGAUCCUAAGUGAAUUCAAGUUAAAUUUGGUGCUGAGGUCAGUGACAGAGAGACAGAGAGAGAGACAGAGAGAGAGAAUGAGAACUGUCGGUAAGAAAGAAACACUGUAUAAAAAAAUGUAUCUGCAGAAAAUUUAAAUCAUCAUGAAUUAUUUGAUUCCUUUAAAAUUUCACACAGCUGAUAAUGAUGAACCAUGAUCACUUAACCGACUUUGAAGUGAGUGUUUGGUUUUAAGUUUGGUAUUAAAGUGCAAACUUAAGUAUUCAUUUCAAGCAGUUUAUAAAUAAGGAACAAUGUUUCAAUUGCCUCCACCCUUACAAUCUCACCACAAAAUUCAAAAUCUAAGAUCAAGAGUUCACUUUGAGGGAAUUUGAUCAGGAAUCAAAUGCAACACGAUUUAAAAAAAGGAAAUCAAAGUUUAACCAAUUUCUACACAAUAAUUAAUGGUCAUGCUGACCAAUAAAUCACAUGAAUGUAGAUAUCACUUUAUUUGAACAUCACACACAAUAUAAAUUUAAAAUUGCCACACCCUUCCAUAAACCAUCACUGCAUAUAUUAGAGCUUUCCUUGACAAAGUUAUUGAGCUAUUAUUGUAGAUUAAAAGUAUAGUUUUGGUUUUUCGUUUUGUUUUAUUUAGAAGCAUGUUCAAAUGACUAAAGCUGGGCUCCUAAAAUCGAGAACUUUGGUGCAGUAGGUGAGCUGCAGUUACUAACUUCUGCAAAUUAAAAGCAGGCGACUAACCAAAUAAAAAACCAACAACAAAAUACUGUCAAAUUUACAAAAUUUAAAAAUCAUUGCUAGAAAAAGCGCUCAUUGUCAUGAUGUUAAAACUGAACCAAAAGAUUACUCUUUAUAAGUUUCCUUUCCGUUUCUAUACCUGUGUUACUGUUAAAAUGUUCAAGUAUUCAGACAAAAUGUGCUGAUUAGGUAAACAACAUGGAAGGCAAUGGCUAUUAGAAGCACAUUUGAAAAAGAAAAACAAACAAAAACAAAAACAAAAAAUAAAAGCCCAGAGACUUGGCGCUAUCCUCCUUCCUGUUACACAGAUUUUUUGUCUCUACUACAAACAUGCUUCUUGAGAAAUAACUAAAAAGCAAUUGUGAUAGUGCAAGAAAACUUUAACAAAUAUUGCUUUAAACUAUUAUUCAGAAAGACAAAUAUUAAGAACUAGAAAGUGUAUAUGAUUUUAUUUGAAUUCAAUUUUACAUGUGCAGAAGUCUACUAGAUGUCAAUUACAAGCCUGACUGGCAAAGCUGAGCUAUCUCUGUUUGGGUAUACAAUUAAUUUACCAUGGAUACAAUAUCCCUUUUCAAAGGCAUUGCUAAGUAGGUCAUAACUAAAUUUAGAACUUCACAGAAAGGAAAAUGUUACUGCUGCAAUUUGAUGCCGUAAAUGAGAUUAACACAUGUGAAAACCUAAUGGAAUCAAACGCUUAACUCUUCAGCUAAACGUGCUACAAUUUGAAAUAUCAAUUGUAACUUUCAGAACAUGUUAAUUACAAAAAACACAUCACAAACUACACUUGAAGAAAAGGGAUAUUCCAUCCACACAGGUAAAUUAUGAUCUUUAGUUUCUUUUUACAACACUGCCACACGUAAACAAAGUCUCAAAGUAUUAACCAACCAUUUAAAGGAGAAAGAUUUUACAAAUAGAAUGAAGCACUGGUGCGAGGUAAUAUACAGAAGUAACCAUUUGUUUAAGGCUCAAUUUUUUCUCCAUUAUCACUUUCUUUUAAAAGGCAUUGAGUAGGUAAUACUGAGUUUGAGUAUUUAAUAAAUACAAGUUGAGAAACUGAUUAAAGAAAUCAAUUAAAAUAUUAAAAAUUAAUUCUUGCAUAUUAGCCAUCAAUAAGAACUUAGAAAGCUACAAAAGGACUGAUUGAUAAAGAACAGAUUUUAAACGUAUGGUAAACGUGCUAAGCAUUCCCGUUUAAGGUCGAUGGAGCUUGAAGGCCAAAGACCUUAUGCACUUAAUUAGAUGUAUGGCAACAUGCUGUAAGAGAGACAGGUUUACCAAGGCUCAGUUCUGCAACCCAGGUUGUAAAGUUCUCCAAAGCAGCAUCUGUGCAAAUUUCCUCUGAGUUUUAUCUGCAAUUAAGAUAAAAAUGUCAUAAAAACGUAGAAAUAAAGAUUACAGUUUAAAAUGACAACGCUGACAACAGAUCUAUAUACAUAUGGAAGUUGUACCAGAAUAAUGAUCUUUAGAUGGAAUUUCACUGUGUUCCCCAUCAGUUUAAAUUAAAAAGUAAUUUUCUGUUGUCCAAAAAAGUCAUUAGAAACUGUAAUGAUGCAUCGGAUACAAUAUACUUUGUGUAACUACUCUGGUUUAUUUUUUAAAAUAUUAUUAGACUUUACACAAUAUUAAAACUGCUCUUACUUUAAAAGAUCUUACAGUAUAAAGUGGUUUAAAAGAUCUUACAGUAUAAAAGUAGCAGACGUUACUUCUACUUUGAAUUUGAUCUCUUCAUAUUUUUAAUGGGAAACUGUAUUAGAAUUAAAUGCAUAUUAAUUAUGAGCUAACUUGACAGUAUGCAAAACUUUUUGAAAAUUUAGCUUUUCUUGAGAAUUUAAAAUAAGAAAAUGUAAUUCCAUCAAGAUCUAGCUACUGAGCGUCUGCUAGGUGCCCUGACUUGGGUUAGAUAUUAGGUGACAACAGCAGUUCACAUUUCCCACUCUGGUCUGCCCUUUUGUGGACAUCCUCCCCACCACGGGAACUGGUGGGAUUAGGAUUUCUCAGUCUCUGCUCCUACAUCUGAUAGACUUCCG
RNAcentral lists this long non-coding RNA (3170 nucleotides) under Equus asinus (donkey). Its description in RNAcentral is "lncRNA (ENSEASG00005038033.1)". The record is from RNAcentral. Lineage: Eukaryota; Metazoa; Chordata; Mammalia; Perissodactyla; Equidae.